Molecule: transfer RNA, 73 nt
Filed under: Clytia hemisphaerica
Lineage: Eukaryota; Metazoa; Cnidaria; Hydrozoa; Leptothecata; Clytiidae
Description: tRNA-Leu for anticodon AAG
Rfam family: tRNA
About the family: Transfer RNA (tRNA) molecules are approximately 80 nucleotides in length. Their secondary structure includes four short double-helical elements and three loops (D, anti-codon, and T loops).
Source: Rfam by way of RNAcentral
GAUUCCGUAGUGUAGUGGUUAUCACUUGUGCCUAAGACGCACAAGGUCCCCGGUUCGAGCCCGGGCAGAAUCA